GAUGAACGCUGGCGGUAUGCCUAAUACAUGCAAGUCGUGCGGAAAGGCCUCUUCGGAGGUACUCGAGCGGCGGACGGCAGAGUAACGCGUAGGAACAUACCCCCAAACUGAGGGAUAACUGCUCGAAAGAGUAGCUAAUACCGCAUGUGGUCUUCGGACUAAAGCUUCGGCGGUUUGGGAAUGGCCUGCGUUCGAUUAGCUAGUUGGUGAGGUAAUUGCUCACCAAGGCGACGAUCGAUAGCUGGUCUGAGAGGAUGAUCAGCCUGACUGGAACUGAGACACGGUCCAGACUCCUACGGGAGGCAGCAGUAGGGAAUUUUCCACAAUGGGCGAAAGCCUGAUGGAGCAAUACCGCGUGCAGGAUGAAGGCCUUCGGGUCGUAAACUGCUUUAUGUGAGAAGAAUUUGACGGUAACACAUGAAUAAGGGUCGGCUAACUACGUGCCAGCAGCCGCGGUAA
This 459-nucleotide ribosomal RNA is filed under the name uncultured bacterium. Its description in RNAcentral is "bacterial SSU rRNA". It matches the Rfam family "Bacterial small subunit ribosomal RNA", at positions 28 to 523 of the family's 1533-position model. The record is from RNAcentral.